This 368-nucleotide ribosomal RNA is filed under the name uncultured bacterium. RNAcentral describes it as "partial 16S ribosomal RNA". It matches the Rfam family "Bacterial small subunit ribosomal RNA", at positions 338 to 724 of the family's 1533-position model. The record is from RNAcentral.
CCUACGGGAGGCAGCAGUGGGGGAUAUUGCACAAUGGGCGGAAGCCUGAUGCAGCGACGCCGCGUGAGCGAUGGAGGGUUUCGGCGCGUAAAGCCCUGUCCGCAAGGAAGAAAAUGACGGUACGUGACCAAGAAGCCCCGGCUAACUACGUGCCAGCAGCCGCGGUAAUACGUGGGGGGCAGGCGUUAUCCGGAUUUACUGGGCGUAAAGGGGGCGUAGGCGGGUUAUUAAGUCAGCGGUAAAAGGCGGGGGCGCAACCGCGGUACGCCUUUGAAAAUGGCAGGCUUGAGUUCAGGAGAGGCAGGCGGAAUUCCUGGUGUAGCGGUGAAAUGCGUAGAUAUUAGGAGGAACACCAGUUGCGAAGGCGG